UUGUAUAAUCAAACAAUUUAAUGCAAAAUUAAAAGAUCUUAGGCAUGUAAUUACAAAACCAAUGUGUUUGUGUUGAAUGUUAUGUUUGAUCACUUUUGCAACCAAGUUCUUCUUGAUAUAUGUACACCAAUUUUAAAGCAAAUGUAGAGUAGCUGAAACAACCAUUUCUCCCUUUUUCCUUCUUCUAGAAAUCAGUAAUAGACUAAUGAUAUAGACUGCUCUGUUUCCUUUAGAUGUAGGAUCCUCCUUGAUUAUGAUGUAGGGUCUCGUCGGGACAUCGAAGCCUAUGGAAGUAUGGUAUGCUUUCUAUCCAUCACCACGAAUGAACAGAGAAACAGGGAGCAGAAGAACCCAAAAUCGAGACGCUAAAUGAGAGGGAUAGGGCUCACAGAAAGGGUCUUCUCAUUGUAGCAGCAUCGAUAUUUGCUCAAGCCAAAUCUCUCCGGAGUUGCCCAUGCCUUACUCUUCGACCGACCAGACCUCCUCCAAUGGUUGCCGUCAGCUCUCGCCUCCUCAUGCACCCCCCUUGUAUUUUGUGCUUCAGCA
This 546-nucleotide long non-coding RNA is filed under the name Triticum aestivum (bread wheat). Its description in RNAcentral is "long non-coding RNA (TAES_LNC009541)". Lineage: Eukaryota; Viridiplantae; Streptophyta; Magnoliopsida; Poales; Poaceae. The record is from RNAcentral.